Molecule: transfer RNA, 76 nt
Filed under: Clostridia bacterium
Lineage: Bacteria; Bacillati; Bacillota; Clostridia
Description: tRNA-Arg
Rfam family: tRNA
About the family: Transfer RNA (tRNA) molecules are approximately 80 nucleotides in length. Their secondary structure includes four short double-helical elements and three loops (D, anti-codon, and T loops). Further hydrogen bonds mediate the characteristic L-shaped molecular structure. tRNAs have two regions of fundamental functional importance: the anti-codon, which is responsible for specific mRNA codon recognition, and the 3' end, to which the tRNAs corresponding amino acid is attached (by aminoacyl-tRNA synthetases). tRNAs cope with the degeneracy of the genetic code in two manners: having more than one tRNA (with a specific anti-codon) for a particular amino acid; and 'wobble' base-pairing, i.e. permitting non-standard base-pairing at the 3rd anti-codon position.
Source: RNAcentral
GCGCCUGUAGCUCAGGGGAUAGAGCAACGGACUUCUAAUCCGUUGGCCGCAGGUUCGAUUCCUGCCAGGCGCACCA